UACAGAGGGGGCAAGCGUUGUUCGGAAUUACUGGGCGUAAAGGGCGCGUAGGCGGCCUGCUAAGUCGAACGUGAAAUCCCCGAGCUCAACUCGGGAACUGCGUCCGAUACUGGCAGGCUUGAAUCCGGGAGAGGGAUGCGGAAUUCCAGGUGUAGCGGUGAAAUGCGUAGAUAUCUGGAGGAACACCGGUGGCGAAGGCGGCAUCCUGGACCGGUAUUGACACUGAGGCGCGAAAGCCAGGGGAGCAAACGGG
Molecule: ribosomal RNA, 253 nt
Filed under: uncultured bacterium
Lineage: Bacteria
Description: partial 16S ribosomal RNA
Rfam family: Bacterial small subunit ribosomal RNA
Source: RNAcentral